RNAcentral lists this ribosomal RNA (292 nucleotides) under uncultured bacterium. RNAcentral describes it as "partial 16S ribosomal RNA". It matches the Rfam family "Bacterial small subunit ribosomal RNA", at positions 29 to 334 of the family's 1533-position model. The record is from RNAcentral.
AACGAACGCUGGCGGCAUGCUUAACACAUGCAAGUCGAACGAAGGCCCUCGCUUGCGAGGUGUCCUUAGUGGCGCACGGGUGAGUAACGCGUGGGAACCUGCCCAGAAGCGGGGAACAACCAUUGGAAACGAUGGCUAAUACCGCAUACGCCCUCCGGGGGAAAGGCUUCGGCCACUUUUGGAUGGUCCCGCGUCUGAUUAGCUUGUUGGUGAGGUAACGGCUCACCAAGGCGACGAUCAGUAGCUGGUCUGAGAGGAUGAUCAGCCACACUGGGACUGAGACACGGCCCAG